UAUUUAGAGAGUUUGAUCCUGGCUCAGGAUGAACGCUGGCGGCGUGCUUAACACAUGCAAGUCGAACGGAGAAUAUACGCUGAGGAGGCUUCGGCCAAAUCUUGUGUAUUCUUAGUGGCGGACGGGUGAGUAACGCGUGGGUAACCUGCCUUACACAGGGGGAUAACACUUAGAAAUAGGUGCUAAUACCGCAUAAGCGCACGGUGCUGCAUGGCACAGUGUGAAAAACUGAGGUGGUGUAAGAUGGACCCGCGUCUGAUUAGCUAGUUGGUGAGGUAACGGCCCACCAAGGCGACGAUCAGUAGCCGGCCUGAGAGGGUGAACGGCCACAUUGGGACUGAGACACGGCCCAAACUCCUACGGGAGGCAGCAGUGGGGGAUAUUGGACAAUGGGGGGAACCCUGAUCCAGCGACGCCGCGUGAGUGAAGAAGUAUUUCGGUAUGUAAAGCUCUAUCAGCAGGGAAGAAAAUGACGGUACCUGAGUAAGAAGCCCCGGCUAACUACGUGCCAGCAGCCGCG
This 520-nucleotide ribosomal RNA is filed under the name Lachnospiraceae bacterium. RNAcentral's name for it is "bacterial SSU rRNA". It matches the Rfam family "Bacterial small subunit ribosomal RNA", at positions 1 to 519 of the family's 1533-position model. Lineage: Bacteria; Bacillati; Bacillota; Clostridia; Lachnospirales; Lachnospiraceae. The record is from RNAcentral.